UUGUCUACGUUAAAGGGCAUCUCCCAUCUAUCCGACCAAGCUGAAAUUUUGUGCAAAUCCUCUUGGAGGCUUUGCCUGUCUUCGUCAGUGAGAACCGAGUAACCAAUCUUUGUGUCGUCUGCAAAUUUACUAAUGCGGUUAUUGAGUCCAACAUCCACGUCGUUGAUGUAAAUAAUGAAGAGCACUGGGCCAAGGACCGAGCCCUGAGGGACGCCACUAGUGACAGGCGCCCACUCUGAGUUAAAUCCGUCAAUCACUACUCUUUGUUGUCUGUUGCUCAACCAAUUCGCGAUCCAUUGGUUUACUUGACCGUCAAUACCUAUUUGCUUUAAUUUGUAAAGUAAUUUAUGAUGCGGGACUUUAUCAAACGCUUUCUGGAAAUCAAGAUAGACUACGUCCAGUGAUUUGGUUACGUCAUAAACAGUGAAGAGGUCGUUAUAAAAGGUUAAUAGAUUUGAUAGGCAGGAUCUUUUGUUUCGGGAGCCAUGUUGUGAGUCCCCAAUUAAUGAGUGGCUUUCAAGGUAACUCACAAUUUUGUCUCUAAUUAUGC
Molecule: long non-coding RNA, 550 nt
Organism: Eriocheir sinensis (Chinese mitten crab)
Lineage: Eukaryota; Metazoa; Arthropoda; Malacostraca; Decapoda; Varunidae
Exons: 3
Source: RefSeq, a predicted model, not a curated record